Molecule: RNA transcript, 3454 nt
Organism: Pan troglodytes (chimpanzee)
Lineage: Eukaryota; Metazoa; Chordata; Mammalia; Primates; Hominidae
Gene: UCHL5
Gene name: ubiquitin C-terminal hydrolase L5
Exons: 13
Source: RefSeq, a predicted model, not a curated record
CUGGGAAGAGUUUCGAUGUCUCUAGGGUGGCUAGAGCGUCCUCCCGCGCUCAGUCGCGCUGCAGGUGACGGCGCCCGGAGGCUGUCGGGAAGUAGGCGGGGUGACGUGUGGUUGACGAGCUCGGCGGCGGGUUUGCUGAGAUCUGUGGCCGGCGGCAGCUGGUGCGGGGGGCAGCUGAGAGCGAGAGGUGGAUCGGGGCGGUGUGUGGCCAGGGCCAUGACGGGCAAUGCCGGGGAGUGGUGCCUCAUGGAAAGCGACCCCGGGGUCUUCACCGAGCUCAUUAAAGGAUUCGGUUGCCGAGGAGCCCAAGUAGAAGAAAUAUGGAGUUUAGAGCCUGAGAAUUUUGAAAAAUUAAAGCCAGUUCAUGGGUUAAUUUUUCUUUUCAAGUGGCAGCCAGGAGAAGAACCAGCAGGCUCUGUGGUUCAGGACUCCCGACUUGACACGAUAUUUUUUGCUAAGCAGGUAAUUAAUAAUGCUUGUGCUACUCAAGCCAUAGUGAGUGUGUUACUGAACUGUACCCACCAGGAUGUCCAUUUAGGCGAGACAUUAUCAGAGUUUAAAGAAUUUUCACAAAGUUUUGAUGCAGCUAUGAAAGGCUUGGCACUGAGCAAUUCAGAUGUGAUUCGACAAGUACACAACAGUUUCGCCAGACAGCAAAUGUUUGAAUUUGAUACGAAGACAUCAGCAAAAGAAGAAGAUGCUUUUCACUUUGUCAGUUAUGUUCCUGUUAAUGGGAGACUGUAUGAAUUAGAUGGAUUAAGAGAAGGACCGAUUGAUUUAGGUGCAUGCAAUCAAGAUGAUUGGAUCAGUGCAGUAAGGCCUGUCAUAGAAAAAAGGAUACAAAAAGACGGGUUUUCACCAUGUUGCCCAGGCUGGUCUCAGACUCCUGAGCUCAAGCCAUCCGCCUGCCUCGACCUCCCAAAGUGGUACAGUGAAGGUGAAAUUCGAUUUAAUUUAAUGGCCAUUGUGUCUGACAGAAAAAUGAUAUAUGAGCAGAAGAUAGCAGAGUUACAAAGACAACUUGCAGAGGAGGAACCCAUGGAUACAGAUCAAGGUAAUAGUAUGUUAAGUGCUAUUCAGUCAGAAGUUGCCAAAAAUCAGAUGCUUAUUGAAGAAGAAGUACAGAAAUUAAAAAGAUACAAGAUUGAGAAUAUCAGAAGGAAGCAUAAUUAUCUGCCUUUCAUUAUGGAAUUGUUAAAGACUUUAGCAGAACACCAGCAGUUAAUACCACUAGUAGAAAAGAUAUUCUGAUAUAGGGGAAGGAUUCUUUAAUAAGUUCCCCAAGUGAUUCUAAUGCAACUGGUCUGUGUACCACAGUUUGAGAAACACUUUGAGAAGACACUACUAGGCAAAUAAAAUUUUGGACCAUUAACUUAAAGACGAGAAUACAUGGCAAAAGAAAAACAGAACGCAAAGAAAGCUCAGGAAACCAAAUGAAGAUGUUUUCGGAUAUGUACACAUUUCUGCUUCUGCACAUAUUUUCAUGGAAACCAUUAUGUAUAAAGAACUUAGAGCAACAUCCUAAUUGGCUCAGUGCACGUUUGGCAAUAGUGCCAACCUGUCUUGUCUUUAAUGCAUGGAUUCAUAAACUUCUUCCCUACCUGCAUCAUGUGCAUGUAGUGCAUAUUAAAUGAAAGUGAUAUUAAGAGUGCUUUCCCAAAUUCCAUUAUUUGACAUUGAGUCUGACAACUGUUAGUUUUCUGGUUGUCUAACUACCAUAUGAAGCUAGAAAAUGCACAAACGAUAUUCCUUAUCUGUAAUUUAAAUACUUAAAAUUUGCAAUUGUCAGAUCUUGAUUAAACUGGUUGUCUUAUUUCUUCUCAUCAUUAACGGAAAAAAAAUCAGUAUUUCUAUCUUUGAUAUCUAAGUGUUUUGAGGAUUUUAAAACUGAAUUUUAUCUGCUAUACCAGUUAUUUGAGAAAGUAUGAUUUUAAUGUAAAUCAUUUAAAAAGGACAAAAGUAUAAUUUCCAGUGAUUUUCACUGCUGUCAGUAGAAAAGUAAUAAACAUCUCAAUUUUAUUUUAGUAAAUUUUCUUCAAGUGUUUGGGGUUAUUUGUUUAUGUAUUAGAGAAUUGUUUCAGGAAGGUCUGAGUAUUAUGCUUCAAAGCAAAAUUUCAGGUUAAGAAGAAAUUGUAAAUCUUAAAGAAUGUUGGUGUUACUCUCAAUGGAAUAUUGUUUCAAGCUCGUAAGCUGUGUAUAAAAAAACUGGAGGUCUGACAGUUCAUGUUAUCUGCCUUUUUAAAAAGAUGGUAGUGGUGAUGGGGGUCUUUCUAUGCCAAUUUGAAUAAAUUUCGUACAGCCUGCAGUUUUCAAGAGCCUAUGUAAUUUGCUCACAAUUGAUUUUUAAAAAUUGAUUUGGGAGUUGCUUUGUAAUAAUCUUCUGCUUCUAAUCUUCCUUUGCAAGUCAGACUUUAAAGAAGACUUUAUAAACCUUUCUUUUUUAAAGGAAGUAACCUACUUUUUUCUUUAUCAAGAAUAUUUCUGAGGUUGAUACAUGACUUUAACAUUUUAUUAUUUAUUGUAAAAUCAAUUUAGCAUAAUUUAUUUUAUUAGGGAGAAUGUGUACCCAUCUUCCAGCUUCAGCACAUUUUUAAGGAUUGUUUUUAAGCUUAGUAAUUGUGGUAUUAAAUGACUUAGAACUAAUGGAGAAAAACCUGAUAGGAAAUUGAUAGAAAAACGAAUGAAAUAUUUUUCAUACAUAAUUUCAGUUGGAGGUAAUGGAAAAUAUGUAGUCUCUCAGUUAUUUGUGGGUAAAUAUGUUUUGCUGUUGAUACAGUAAUAAUUAUGGAGUGUUUUCAAAGCCAUGAUAUAAUUUUUAAAAAUAGAUUUUUAAGGAAGGCUCAUCUUGAUCUCAUUCGUUUAUUUCAGCUUAACUUAUAUAUUCUUUCCUAUUGAGGCUUAAAUUUUGUUAAGCAAUGUGAGGAUUAUUGUGGUAAGUUGUAUUUAGUAAUCAAUACAGUGUGGUACUGGCACUAGGAUUGACAAAUAAAGCAAUGGAACAGAAGAGAGAGCCUGAAAACAGAUCAACGUUUAUAUGAUCACUUGAUUUCGACAAAGGUGGCAAAACAAUUCAACAGAGAAGGAAAGUGUUUUCAACAAAUGGAGCCAGAAUAGAAUAGCUGAAUAUCCAUAUAGAAAAAAGAGAACAAUGACCCCCUACCUCACAAAAAUGACUUUGAGAUGAAUCAUAGACCUAAAUGUAAUAUUUUAAAAGUAUGAAGCUUUUUAACUGAAAACAGAUGAUAUUUUUGUGACUUGGGGGGUUAGCCAAAGGUUUCUUAGGUCACAGAAAGCAGUAACCAUAAAAGAUCCAAAAUUAGAGCUCAUCAGAAUUGUCAUUGAAAAUGUUAACAAAAGUAAUAUCAAAUGACAUUUGAAAAAUAUCCUUGUAAAAUGUAUAUUAAUAGGUAUAAGGAUUUUUUCUUAUUAAUCUAAUAAAAUUCCUUAAUAGGAA